UCGAGAAGGACGCAUCCUGCGACACUACAGUAACGUCGGCGCCCUCCACAGCGUUCGCCGCGGACGAGACGAUACCGGCGCGGCGCUUCUUCAGGUUGUGGCAGCCAGCUGCCAUCGCCGGCACAGAGGCGCCGCGCACCAUCCUGGUGGUGCCGGCCCACUGGGUGACCGAAUCUCCGGCCGUCAGCGUCAUCCGCGGCAACAACGACACCAUCUACAACUUCCCAAGUCCAUGUACCAGGUUCGUGAGUUCGCCCGUGCGCCCCUCUCGCUUCUAUGUACCAGGACCAUUGUAUGGAUUCAACGCUCGAUUCCAAUAGCCGCGGAUUGCGUCGUUGUCUGGGUUUGGUUGCGAGUUGUUGAUCGUUGGGGAUUGGAUUGGAUGGCGCAAUACUACAGGGCCAUCAGCCAUCUACAAUGUCGGCGCCCUCAAUGGCAUCCGCCGUGACUUGCUGGUCUCCAUGCGCUUCAGUGCCGUCCAGCCAUGAUGUCUUAGGAGUGUGCGACGGCGGGGCACGACGGGCUUAUGUGUCCAAUUAAUGAUUCCUUCACCUAUUUCUGACAGCAUUAAGGGUCCCAGUGUCGAUGCUUUACAAAAUGAAAGAACUAUGUACAAAUUCCCUCUGAUGCUUAAUUGGUUACUUGUUUCUUUCAUUUUCCUUUGUAUUUUGAACAAGUAAAAUACUCUUGGAUCUAUGAGAAGAACAUCAACUUCUAUUUAAGUUUCAGGUGGUGCCGCCGCCCUUUCUCUGCCUGCUACGGACUAGCCCCUCUGCGUCACCCUGCUGACUCCUUGCGUGCAACCGACGGGCUAGGAUACUAUUGUGAGAUGGUCUGAUACAUAAAAGACGGCCUCAAGCCCCUCUAAGGAAGCAUCCAGUCUCGCCGUUCUACCAAUUUCACCGGAAAAACGAUCUACUAACUUUGCCGGAGCGCCGACUGCCAGUGCUCCACCUGAGGUACGCCGAACAGCCAAGCCACGAGUAGCCUUGAAGUAGCAAGCUGUUAUGUUUGAAAAUUAAUUUAAAAAAACAUGUGUUCUGGCUUUAUUACUUUGCCAUGAUCUUUUACUGUGUGCCUGCAACCGUAGCGCCCAUCGGCAUUACCUUGCCAUAUACGGACAGUCUGCUGAGUAAUUCAGAGCAAGAAAGUUAUUUUACUGGAAAAAGUACAUCCAGUAUGAAACCCGGGAAAUUAAAUUGAAAUCUGUCUGCAACAGUUAGGAUUGUAGUAUACAAGUUUACAGAUGAAUAUAUCAAGUCUACUAUGAACUAAAAGAGAGCAGGUUUGACAAAAAACACAAUUCAGGGUCACACGCUUCAGGCUCACACUUGCAAAUGGUUGUAGAAGUGACCUACUACUUGAAAGUUAAUGAAGCUUUAUUACUUUUCUCCACAUUGGUAACUUCACUUUUCAGAAUAGAGGUGUAUCAUCCACUACUCAUGGGCAUACGUAUUCUUCCUUCUACUGAUGUUGCCCUGCCCAUUAAAGUGUCUUUUCUGAACAUUGCGGCCGUGCUCCAUGAAUCAGAUACUACUAUCGGCUAUUGUAGUGAUGUACUGUUCAUCUACUACUCCUACAAAAGCAUGAAGUGCAGAUCUUAUACUGAUUUGGUAAAGUUAAACCAUAAAAUGCUUGACCAAUAUCAUAAGCACGACUGUGAAUUCUAACAUGGAGUAGAGUUAAUAGGGUAUCUGAGGGAAAAUAAUCUUAAGAUUAGCAAGGUGACAAGUGUUGGGGAGUAUUAUCAGUGAACAUACAGUAGAUAGCUAGAUUAGUUGGUUGUGUCUUCCAUCCAUUUUUUUGUAAACCGCCAACAUAGGCUCACUCUGCACCAAGCAGAUGGUAGUUCUAGCUGAGGAGGAUACAAAAAGAAAAACAACCAAACAGAAUUAAGCACCAAGAAUUUUACCACAGUUUUAUUUGCUUUUACACAACAAGUUUAUCAUUUAGCAUUUCUCAUUCAUUCGCCCUUAAAAUGUAUCCUUGGAUUGUUGAACUUAUAGGCAUUAAAUUCAUGAUUGAAGGAGUGUCUCAUGGCUUAAUAGUCAUUUAGGCACGUGAAAUUUUUAGGAGUGAAGUCAGGAGAAUAGGGCCAUGGGGGCGUGGUCAGUGGUGCAGUGGAUCCCGGCCCUUGCCUGUGGGUGGCUCCGUUUUUAGAUGUGUUUUCGAGUUUUGUUAGGGUUUGUGUCUUGUUUAGGAAGGCGAGACGGCGGCGGCUCCCUGAAUAUGGAAUAAGGUUCUCCCCGCCUAGUCCCCGUCCCGGUGGUGCACCUAGCACCGUCGGUGGGCUUGUGGAGGUGUGUCUCCGGCGGAUCUGCUUGUGGUGGAUUUUCUUGGAUCUGUUUGUCGUUCGUCUACGUUCGUGUCUUCAGGUUGGAUCCUUCUGAUCUACGUAACUCUUUAUCGGCGGUGGUUGCUGUUCUGCUGCGAUGGUCCUAUGGGGGCUUAGCACGACGACUACUCGACUGUCUACUACAACAAGUUUUGCCCAGCUCCGGUUAGGGAGGGGCGAUGACGGCGGCGUGCCUUCCGCUCGCUUCAGUGCUUGUAGUUGUCGCUAGGUGGAUGUAAAUUUUAUUAUUUCUGAUGUUUGUUGUACUGUCAUGAUUGAAGAUGAAUAGAUCGGAUGUUUUCUCGCUAAAAAGAGAAUCCAGAUAAUGAAGCAAAUAACUUGGUUAGAAGGUAAAUUCAUGAUCACCAAUGCCUAGCUAUUUUUUGAUCUUACUACUAUAAAGGAUGCAAGUGUAAUGUGUAGGUUCAGAGAGCAUCCCUGUCCAUGAACAAUACUUUACAUUUCUGAAUAU
Triticum dicoccoides is the source of this 2807-nucleotide long non-coding RNA. RefSeq lists it as uncharacterized. The record is from RefSeq and is a predicted model, not a curated record. NCBI's taxonomy places the organism in Eukaryota, Viridiplantae, Streptophyta, Magnoliopsida, Poales, Poaceae. The transcript is spliced from 4 exons.